Molecule: ribosomal RNA, 496 nt
Filed under: uncultured bacterium
Lineage: Bacteria
Description: partial 16S ribosomal RNA
Rfam family: Bacterial small subunit ribosomal RNA
Source: RNAcentral
AUGAACGCUGGCGGCGUGCCUAAUACAUGCAAGUCGAGCAAACAGACGAGGAGCUUGCUCCUCUGACGUUAGCGGCGGACGGGUGAGUAACACGUGGAUAACCUACCUAUAAGACUGGGAUAACUUCGGGAAACCGGAGCUAAUACCGGAUAAUAUAUUGAACCGCAUGGUUCAAUAGUGAAAGACGGUUUUGCUGUCACUUAUAGAUGGAUCCGCGCCGCAUUAGCUAGUUGGUAAGGUAACGGCUUACCAAGGCAACGAUGCGUAGCCGACCUGAGAGGGUGAUCGGCCACACUGGAACUGAGACACGGUCCAGACUCCUACGGGAGGCAGCAGUAGGGAAUCUUCCGCAAUGGGCGAAAGCCUGACGGAGCAACGCCGCGUGAGUGAUGAAGGUCUUCGGAUCGUAAAACUCUGUUAUUAGGGAAGAACAAAUGUGUAAGUAACUAUGCACAUCUUGACGGUACCUAAUCAGAAAGCCACGGCUAACUACGUG